Molecule: long non-coding RNA, 1392 nt
Filed under: Homo sapiens (human)
Lineage: Eukaryota; Metazoa; Chordata; Mammalia; Primates; Hominidae
Description: HSALNT0387046
Source: RNAcentral
GCUCACACAGCAAUGAGUGGCUGGAUGGCCGUUGGGAACUGAAGAAUGCUUCUGGCUCCUAGCCCAGGCAGGGCCCUUUCUAAUACUUUGCAAUGAUGCUGAUAAACAGAUAUAUCUCUAACAAAUAUGGACAAUAACUCCUUCCAAAAGGCAAAAUAAAACUCGUAUCAUUUGUACAAGACCAUGCAAUUUAAAAGCAAUAUUGUAAGCAAUCUACAAUAGAAAGCAAGCCUGAGAAGGCAAUGUGUUCACUGAAAACAUUUCUCUUGCCUCCUCGAGGCAUCACCAGACUACAUUUCCCAGAAUCCCUUGCAGUUGGUUGUGAUCAUGUGACUGAAUUCUGGCCAAUGGGAAGCAGGUGGAAGUGACCUCACUGCUUCCAGGCUUGACCUAUAAUAACUCCUUGGAAACUUGUACUUUUUCUUCCCCUGUCAGAUGUCUGGACUUAAAGGAUCCAGCAGAGGAUUUGGAGGCUCCAGGGUAUGGCUGAGCCCAAGAUGUCAAAGUCUGGGUCAGUGAAUCACAGUAUGGGAGGCCAGUUGCUGAAUGUCUAUACUAAUUGUUACUUCAGCAAGCAAUCAACGACAGUUCUAGGAGUUAACAGCAGCUUCCUGAGCCAGAACAGACCGAGAGAGACUCCUGGGGAGCUUUGAAAAAAAGAAAUUUAUUUCUCAUGGUUCUGGAAGCUGGGAAGUCCAAGAUCAAGGAAGCAGCAAAUUCAAUGUCUGGCCAGAGUCCCGCCUCCUCAUAGAUUCAUGGAUAUUCUUCUUGCUGUUUUCUCACAUGGUGGAAGAAGCAAGGCAGCUUCUGGGGUCACUUUUAUAAGGGCACUCAUGCAAUUAUGCAGGCUCUGUCUUCAUGUCCAAAUCAUCUCCCAAAAGACCCCAUCUCCUAACAAAUGAAUGCUGGGGUGACACAGACAUUCUGACCACAGCAGGAUUUGAAUCUAGCCUGCUGUAACCCAAAGCCUGUGUUACUAAGAACUUUGCUAUAUGGCAUGGGUCUUUCUGAGCCCUACCUGCCCUACAUCCUCUUCUAUAUCAAAAAUUUCACUUUUUUUUUUCAAAUAUUUUAUUUUUUGUAGAGAUGAGGAGGUCUUGAACUCCUGCCCUCAAAUGAUUCUCCUGCCUCGGCCUCCCAACGUGCUGGGAUUACAGACGUGAGCCACCUUGCCCAGCCAAAAAUUUUCAUUGUUUCUAACCUGGAUUCCUCUUCAAACCCUUCUAGGCAAUGUUUAUCCCACUGCAAGGAUGAGUUGCAUUUGCAACAUUUCUGAAUGUAAUUAUAAGUUAUUUCCAUAAUGGCUGAAUAGUCUGAAAAAAAGUUUUUUUUGCUGUGUGCUAUGUAGGCACAUUGAAUAAUAUUUAAACAAUAAAGGUUACCUCUUAUGUA